Molecule: long non-coding RNA, 1352 nt
Organism: Halichondria panicea
Lineage: Eukaryota; Metazoa; Porifera; Demospongiae; Suberitida; Halichondriidae
Exons: 4
Source: RefSeq, a predicted model, not a curated record
GGCCUCUACAGGACUGGUGCUGCCAGUAGAGAGAACCACUCGAUUGGGUUGUAUACCAGAGGGCAGGACUGUCAGCUAUGAAUGCACUGUCGAUGAUGAUGAAGGUGGUCGCUCAACAUUACGGCGAGGCAGUGCAUUCAACUGUCCCAGCAGCUCAUCUGUGAUCAACUUAGCUCAUUCUCUAUAUAUGAACCUAAUGGAGCGAGUGGAUCUUGUGGGGUGACCUAUCUGCCAUGAGUGUCGAGGUUAUUGGAGACAACUACACCUCAAGACUGACUCUAACAGCAACUGCUGAGCUGAAUGAAAAGACUAUUGAAUGUACUCGGGGUGGUAUAGUUGCGAUCGGAAAUGAUACCUUAAGAACUGGAGCCCCUCCCUAUCCCCCUCAAAGUGCCAUGGUAGAGAUUGUUACUAAGGGGUUACCUGCUGAACGUUACUGGAGAAGACUGGAUGUGUGAGUAUGAAUAUCAGUGCUGACACUACCAGUGUGAACUGUUCUGGUUGGAUUGUAAUGAAUCAGACCUGCUUCUUUGAAGUGAAGACUGUCUCUCAAGACUAUGGGUUUACCAGUGGCCCUGUGAAGGAAUCUGUUGUACUGAUGGGUAAGCAGCCUAUCAUUAUUACACAGUAGACUUCUGUAUAAUGCUACAAUUUGUAGUGCCACUUGCACCAACACAACUACAGGUGAUAUUUAGUGCACAACAAAUCGAGGUGGAGUUCUUGCAACCAAUUGUUCCCCCUCUUGGUGCCAACCUAAACUCUACACUGUGAUGUUGGUUGGAACUAAUGUCUCAAUGAACUUCACUGGUCUGACUUGUGAUCAAACCAGCAGAUCUUAUCUCAAUCUCACAUUCCAUGAUCUCACCAGUGGUAGCUACAUUUCAGUGUGUUUGCCUCUAACAUAUUUGGCUCUGGACCUCCUGAAUGCAAUCCAGAAGAGCUUGGUAGUAACCCCACUUCUCUGAAUAAUCAGGAAUGGUCUAUGUAUCUAACUGACUAUUUGCUACAGUGGUGUGUCUCCUGGCUCUGUUGCAACAUACAAUGCAAUGAUGGGUACAGAGCACUCUCCUUCCUCAACAGGACUUGCAUGUUUGGUGGACAAUGGAGUGAGCAGUGGCGUAGCCAGGAUUUUGGGAAGGGCAGGGCUCAAAUCCGUUGAGCAGGAGGCGCUGAAUAGCUUGGACAUCAUUCUAGUAACUACGCAUGCAGUACAGUGCAGAAUAGAUUGACAGAUCAAGGUGAUUCAAGCUGAGUUGGAGUUGAUGAAGCACAAAAGGGGGGGGCUCUAGCCCCGUCAGCCCCCCUCUGCCUACGCCACUGGACUGAGGGGGCAUUGGAGUGUGGAGAAACUA